Molecule: ribosomal RNA, 253 nt
Filed under: uncultured bacterium
Lineage: Bacteria
Description: partial 16S ribosomal RNA
Rfam family: Bacterial small subunit ribosomal RNA
Source: RNAcentral
UACGUAGGGUGCAAGCGUUGUCCGGAAUUAUUGGGCGUAAAGAGCUCGUAGGCGGUUUGUCGCGUCUGCUGUGAAAACCCGAGGCUCAACCUCGGGCCUGCAGUGGGUACGGGCAGACUAGAGUGCGGUAGGGGAGAUUGGAAUUCCUGGUGUAGCGGUGGAAUGCGCAGAUAUCAGGAGGAACACCGGUGGCGAAGGCGGGUCGCUGGGCAGUGACUGACGCUGAGGAGCGAAAGCGUGGGGAGCGAACAGG